UUGAUGACUGCUGAACUAAAACCCAGCAAAUAAAAUAUAUCAUGUCUUCUUCAGUGAAGUUCAUGAAAAGCAGCAAAAUAAAAAAAAACUGGGUUAGAAAGUUAAAACAUAAAAAGCAGUAGAGUACGUACACUACCAGUCAAUAUCAUAAACUUUAAUUCCUUCUAUUAACUUCAAAUGUAAACAGAUUUAUUCUUUUUAGUUAUUUAGUAUUGGAUCAUCUCACACAAAUGCAAAAAAGGUGCUUUACAAUGUAAUAAAACAAACAAACAAGCAAUACAGAGAAGGAAAAGACGACAAAACAGAGAAGAGACGAUCAGAUUAAAGCAGAUUCAGCACAGUUCUGUAUUUACCUGCAGUCGUCAAAUGAAUCUGUGAUGACGUCUGAUUACCGAGUUCAUUUGUGGCCACACAGUAAUAAACUCCUCCAUCAGUGACAUUGGUCACCUUGAAGCUGUAAACCUCUCCUUCAGAUACAUUCUUGGGUCCAUCUGUGCUGUUCUUGAACCAGGUGAAGCGGCUGACGGGAGGCUUGGCUCUGCUGGAGCAGGUCAGGUUCAUCCAGCUACCUGCUGACACCAAACCUGAUGGACUGAUGGACACUGAGGUGUUUUUAGGAGCAUCUGAGGAAAAUACUACCUGGAACUGCCUGCCUGCCCACCUGCUUCACAUUCACCACAUCAGCCUAACCACACCGCUCCGUUUUCCCUGUUUGGAUCUGGAUCAUCUUUCGUGCCCCCCGUGAACUGAUUGAAAUAUUUCCUACGAUAAACUCCCUUUGUACAAA
Long non-coding RNA from Micropterus dolomieu (smallmouth bass), 787 nucleotides. RefSeq lists it as uncharacterized. NCBI's taxonomy places the organism in Eukaryota, Metazoa, Chordata, Actinopteri, Centrarchiformes, Centrarchidae. The transcript is spliced from 2 exons. The record is from RefSeq and is a predicted model, not a curated record.